GUGGAGUCUGUACAGCUCUGUCCAAUGGGAAUAUGCUUCCAAACCAGAGGCGUUUGCGCACCUUGCAUGCACACAGGUAAAAUCUAACUGACCCAGCCCACAACAAUUUCAAGUCCAUUGGCCUCAGAGUGAUGUGUCCUGGUGGAUUGACUGCAGACAUCCCAGCAGCUGGUAAUAAGGGCUGCCUGGUGAGGCCACAGUCUCAAAGACAGACUGGAAAGCUCUGCGGUCCAGCUCCUCGUCAAUCUGGUGCCGGUAGAAAUCCAUGGCCACAAGGCAGAACAGGUUGACAUCCACCACCUCACUGGAACCCAUUCGACUGAUCACAUGUGGCAGUCUGGUUGAGCACAGGGGGGUUAAGGACAACACUGUUUGAUAAGCUGUACGUUUACACUUUGCUGAAACAUCCCAACAUACAGUACAGAUACAACAACCUAAUCACAGUCCUGCUCACGGGACUUGUGUCAUGCAAGGAUACAAGGCUGAGAUCCACUGGGAGGUGGAAGCAGAGACAAAGAAACAGGAGAGGCUCCACAUGGCCAUGGCCACUGGUGUCCUCUGAGUGAAGUUGGACAAGGACAGCAGCACCCAGUCUCGCACCAUAGAGGACUGGCCUGUGGCGUGGAGUGUUUGGAAAACCUAGAGGUCGGUACAGAGCAGAGGGAGAGGCAGGAAAAUGAGAGGAACUGUACAGAAUAUAAAGAUGAAAGAUUUGAUUAGCUUGUCAAUUUUUCAAAAUGUUUUAAAAUUACAUUUGCAGUUAUUUAAGUAGCCUGUAAAUUUUGUUUUGUUGUUGUUGUUUCUACCAACAGUAUGUGCAUUUUUUGAGGACCGGCAUGAAUUUCAGAUGCAUUGAGCAUCUGCUGACUCACAAGUGCUUUUCUUUCCCUGACAGAAACUUGCUGUCAUUUGUCUGUAAUUAGGAAAAACAAG
Long non-coding RNA from Scatophagus argus, 933 nucleotides. RefSeq lists it as uncharacterized. The transcript has 2 exons. Lineage: Eukaryota; Metazoa; Chordata; Actinopteri; Scatophagidae. The record is from RefSeq and is a predicted model, not a curated record.